RNAcentral lists this long non-coding RNA (758 nucleotides) under Mus pahari (shrew mouse). RNAcentral's name for it is "lncRNA (MGP_PahariEiJ_G0003985.1)". The record is from RNAcentral. Lineage: Eukaryota; Metazoa; Chordata; Mammalia; Rodentia; Muridae.
UUAAACCCAGGAUCUUCAAGCCCAACCACCACACUGUAAGAACCCAUACAGGAAUGUAGGUAGACAUUUCACAUGACAGCUUUGGUGGAGCUCCUAGUGAGCACUCAGAAACAAUGGGGACGAGAGCGAGAAUGAUUCAACGUGCUUCCAGCGGCAAAAGUCAAACUGGCUAUGAGAGAAAGCUCGAGAGAGAUUGCCCAGCUAAAUGAAGGCCGCACCAGAAUCUGAGGUGCUGAUGCAACAUGACCAGCUCCCCUCAGGUUUCUGCUGCUAUGGCUUCAGUGCUAUGAUGGACUGUAACCUGAAACUCACCCAGCUGUUCAUAGUUGGACCUUCCCGAACAAGGCAACCUGGAAACAGCUGUACAGGGACUGUCCUGCUGCCACCCUCUACCUUCAGUCCUGACAUUUAAAAGCUCUAAAAUGAAUAUCCAGAAAGUCACAGAAUCUAAGACACUGCUCCUUUCAAUUAAGGCUCACCCGGGACUUUAAACAAUGUGAUCCAUUGUAUGUACAUGGGUGGUUUGUGAUACAAUGUCAACUGGUGAAUUUAGACUCUUAAGAGUGUGUCCAUACUUCUGACUGGUGAAUGUGUCGUUUCUAUCAUUGCUACCCUCCCCCCAGCACUUGCUUGGGGGUUAAAACUGUGAUUGUUGUCUAAUUUGAAAUCUUGCCUUCAAAUAGGUAUAUAGAAAAAACAAAAUCUUUCCUUUUUGAAGGACUGAGUUUGGACCUGUGAAAUAAAUAUCACCACAUAAA